ACGGAAGGCAGCAGUGGGGAAUAUUGCACAAUGGGGGAAACCCUGAUGCAGCGACGCCGCGUGAGCGAAGAAGUAUUUCGGUAUGUAAAGCUCUAUCAGCAGGGAAGAAAAUGACGGUACCUGACUAAGAAGCCCCGGCUAACUACGUGCCAGCAGCCGCGGUGAUACGUAGGGGGCAAGCGUUAUCCGGAUUUACUGGGUGUAAAGGGAGCGUAGACGGCAAGGUAAGUCUGAAGUGAAAUGCCGGGGCUCAGCCCGGAACUGCUUUGGAAACUAUCUCGCUCGAGUACCGGAGGGGUAAGCGGAAUUCCUAGUGUAGCGGUGAAAUGCGUAGAUAUUAGGAGGAACACCAGUGGCGAAGGCGGUUUACUGGACGGUAACUGACGUUGAGGCUCGAAAGCGUGGGGAGCAAACAGGAUUAGAUACCCUGGUA
This 433-nucleotide ribosomal RNA is filed under the name uncultured Lachnospiraceae bacterium. RNAcentral describes it as "bacterial SSU rRNA". It matches the Rfam family "Bacterial small subunit ribosomal RNA", at positions 341 to 792 of the family's 1533-position model. The record is from RNAcentral. Lineage: Bacteria; Bacillati; Bacillota; Clostridia; Lachnospirales; Lachnospiraceae.